AUUGAACGCUGGCGGCAGGCCUAACACAUGCAAGUCGAGCGGAUGAAGGGAGCCUGCUCCUGGAUUCAGCGGCGGACGGGUGAGUAAUGCCUAGGAAUCUGCCUGGUAGUGGGGGAUAACGUCCGGAAACGGGCGCUAAUACCGCAUACGUCCUGAGGGAGAAAGUGGGGGAUCUUCGGACCUCACGCUAUCAGAUGAGCCUAGGUCGGAUUAGCUAGUUGGUGGGGUAAAGGCCUACCAAGGCGACGAUCCGUAACUGGUCUGAGAGGAUGAUCAGUCACACUGGAACUGAGACACGGUCCAGACUCCUACGGGAGGCAGCAGUGGGGAAUAUUGGGCAAUGGGCGAAAGCCUGAUCCAGCCAUGCCGCGUGUGUGAAGAAGGUCUUCGGAUUGUAAAGCACUUUAAGUUGGGAGGAAGGGCAGUAAGUUAAUACCUUGCUGUUUUGACGUUACCAACAGAAUAAGCACCGGCUAACUUCGUG
This 484-nucleotide ribosomal RNA is filed under the name uncultured bacterium. Its description in RNAcentral is "partial 16S ribosomal RNA". It matches the Rfam family "Bacterial small subunit ribosomal RNA", at positions 30 to 507 of the family's 1533-position model. The record is from RNAcentral.